This 219-nucleotide unclassified non-coding RNA is filed under the name Hevea brasiliensis (rubber tree). Lineage: Eukaryota; Viridiplantae; Streptophyta; Magnoliopsida; Malpighiales; Euphorbiaceae. The record is from RNAcentral.
UCAUCAAACAAAUUAUUAAAAUCAAUCAUGAAGACAAGAUACAAAAACAAAGAGGAUUUGCCUAACUACAGUCCCAUUACAUGUACAAUGACAACUAUAGGUUGCUUAGCUACAAAUCCAGUACGAUUGACUAACCAACCAACUUUUACUGAAAGUCCAAUAUUACUAAGAUGUACCAAGUUGAAUACUUGAAGGCCAUCAAAAGAAAGAGAGAGAGAG